UACGGAGGGGGUUAGCGUUGUUCGGAAUUACUGGGCGUAAAGCGCACGUAGGCGGAUUGGAAAGUAAGAUGUGAAAUCCCAGGGCUCAACCCUGGAACUGCAUUUUAAACUAUCAGUCUAGAGUUCGAGAGAGGUAAGUGGAAUUCCGAGUGUAGAGGUGAAAUUCGUAGAUAUUCGGAGGAACACCAGUGGCGAAGGCGGCUUACUGGCUCGAUACUGACGCUGAGGUGCGAAAGCGUGGGGAGCAAACAGG
RNAcentral lists this ribosomal RNA (253 nucleotides) under uncultured bacterium. RNAcentral's name for it is "partial 16S ribosomal RNA". It matches the Rfam family "Bacterial small subunit ribosomal RNA", at positions 524 to 776 of the family's 1533-position model. The record is from RNAcentral.